This 289-nucleotide long non-coding RNA is filed under the name Mus musculus (house mouse). RNAcentral describes it as "long non-coding RNA chr4:101003277-101003566". The record is from RNAcentral. Lineage: Eukaryota; Metazoa; Chordata; Mammalia; Rodentia; Muridae.
UGAACUGACCUGACAUGAUGGAAUGGGACCGUAGGCACACCGCCAACACAGACAAACAUAGAGGGAACUGAGCCGGAGGAGUGCUCCCAGCACCAGAAGCACUCAGUCCCUUAACUGGAAGAAAGCUGGAGCCGAGGCCCAUGAACGUGGCACGCCAGAUGCUACCAGCCGCUGGACGGACUCCCGUGUUUCCUAGCGGUACCUGGACACCACCAUUACUGUACAGAGCUCACCUUAGGCUCUAAACGAUGCAUCUCAAAAUUUCUAAGUAAAGGAUUAUUUUUCUACU